GAUGAACGCUAGCUACAGGCUUAACACAUGCAAGUCGAGGGGAAACGACAUCGAAAGCUUGCUUUUGAUGGGCGUCGACCGGCGCACGGGUGAGUAACGCGUAUCCAACCUGCCCAUCACUUGGGAAUAACCUUGCGAAAGUAAGACUAAUACCCAAUGAUAUCCCACGAAGGCAUCGGAAUGGGAUUAAAGAUUUAUCGGUGAUGGAUGGGGAUGCGUCUGAUUAGCUUGUUGGCGGGGUAACGGCCCACCAAGGCAACGAUCAGUAGGGGUUCUGAGAGGAAGGUCCCCCACAUUGGAACUGAGACACGGUCCAAACUCCUACGGGAGGCAGCAGUGAGGAAUAUUGGUCAAUGGGCGAGAGCCUGAACCAGCCAAGUAGCGUGCAGGAAGACGGCCAUAUGGGUUGUAAACUGCUUUUAUAAGGGAAUAAAGUGGGUCACGUGUGACUUUUUGCAUGUACCUUAUGAAUAAGGACCGGCUAAUUCCGUG
RNAcentral lists this ribosomal RNA (492 nucleotides) under uncultured bacterium. Its description in RNAcentral is "partial 16S ribosomal RNA". It matches the Rfam family "Bacterial small subunit ribosomal RNA", at positions 28 to 507 of the family's 1533-position model. The record is from RNAcentral.